This is a long non-coding RNA of Apodemus sylvaticus (European woodmouse), 632 nucleotides long. RefSeq lists it as uncharacterized. The record is from RefSeq and is a predicted model, not a curated record. The transcript is spliced from 3 exons. Lineage: Eukaryota; Metazoa; Chordata; Mammalia; Rodentia; Muridae.
ACUGUGUUUGGAGUAGGAGGAUUUAUCAAGCAUGAGCUCACUGCGCAUCCUGACCAGAGAUGCUUCCUAUUUCUUUUCUUGGAGAACAAGGAGGGAGAGGAUGAGAAAAGUUUCCCUGUUCAUCUAAAUGUUACUAAGAGUACCAAGUUAUGAAAACAGCCAUUUUAAGAACUGUUUGGAAAUGGGUAGCUCCAGGAACCCUGCUGACUAUCCUGCGGGUCGGGACACUCUGGCGCCCAACGUGGGGCACCUGUGGAGUGACUGAGAGAAAGGAGGCUGUAGGAAGAAAGGAGGAAGGCUCUCCACAUACAGCUCCUGGAGCAGAGUGGAUUUGGUCGAAGCACGGUUGACCUGCUGGCACGCUCAGCCAGGGGAAAAUCUCCACGGCAACUACAUCUCAGAAGGAUGCCGAAGGAACACGCUAGCUGCCAAAGUAUGCUAAUGUUGAGACAAAGAAUGAUGCUGAUUAUAAUCAUUGAAAAUGGCCACAGUUCUUAACACCUUUGGAUGCCUCUAAUGCUGACACCAUGGACAUCUACAGACUCAACAUCCCUCUUUGCACAGCAAUUUUAUUUAGCUAAAAAUUGGACAAAUUAUAAACAGAUCAAAGGGGAGAUAUUGGCUACUGCUGA